Momordica charantia (bitter melon) is the source of this 648-nucleotide non-coding RNA. The record is from RefSeq and is a predicted model, not a curated record. NCBI's taxonomy places the organism in Eukaryota, Viridiplantae, Streptophyta, Magnoliopsida, Cucurbitales, Cucurbitaceae.
GGGGGAGGUGUCCACGAGUUGGCAGUAGAGACCCAUUUGAAGGGUGGAGGUAUGGGCCAGCACGUUAUGGAGGUAGAGAAAUCGAUCUUGGAUACUGUUCUAGAAAUUUUCCAGCAUUGAAACUUGACGAAGAAUCAUCCUCCAAAGAUUCCUAGCCCUCUUACACUAACAAAAAAACAUGGUCAAACCUCUCUUCGGAAUCUGAACAGAGGGGGCACAAAGGGAUUUGAGAUAUGGUGUUGAAUCAUAUUUAUUUAGGCACAUUCUCAGCUUAUUUAGAUCCAUACCUUGUUAAAGGUAAUAAAAUCAGCUACCAAGCAAUUUCCAAGCUCACGGCAUGGGGUAAUAGGCAGAAAAGUAUCUUCUUUGGGGAUAUCCAUCUGUAUUUAGAGAAACAAAUUGAUCUACCAUUUCCCCCUCUCCUUCGAAGCCCAUUGAGAAGAAGCUCAUUGCCCCAAAGUAAUUUUUUUUCCAAAGAUAGUAAUUAUGAUUGUUUUCUAAUGUCUUUAAUAUUGACCCAUCAUGAAAGUAUCUUCCUUGAAGAACACGAGAGACUAGGAGAUUGGACUGCAUCAGGAUCCGCCAACCGUUUUGCUAUGAGAGCUUUGUUAAAGCCUUCAAGUUUAUGUUGGGUGUGUUGCCCUAAAC